This 586-nucleotide ribosomal RNA is filed under the name uncultured bacterium. RNAcentral's name for it is "partial 16S ribosomal RNA". It matches the Rfam family "Bacterial small subunit ribosomal RNA", at positions 355 to 1375 of the family's 1533-position model. The record is from RNAcentral.
UGGGGAAUUUUGGACAAUGGGCGAAAGCCUGAUCCAGCAAUGCCGCGUGUGUGAAGAAGGCCUUCGGGUUGUAAAGCACUUUUGUCCGGAAAGAGAUCCUUGGCUCUAAUACAGUCGGGGGAUGACGGUACCGGAAGAAUAAGCACCGGCUAACUACGUGCCAGCAGCCGCGGUAAUACGUAGGGUGCAAGCGUUAAUCGGAAUUACUGGGCGUAAAGCGUGCGCAGGCGGUUUGCUAAGACCGAUGUGAAAUCCCCGGGCUCAACCUGGGAACUGCAUUGGUGACUGGCAGGCUAGAGUAUGGCAGAGGGGGGUAGAAUUCCACGUGUAGCAGUGAAAUGCGUAGAGAUGUGGAGGAAUACCGAUGGCGAAGGCAGCCCCCUGGGCCAAUACUGACGCUCAUGCACGAAAGCGUGGGGAGCAAACAGGAUUAGAUACCCUGGUAGUCCACGCCCUAAACGAUGUCAACUAGUUGUUGGGGAUUCAUUUCCUUAGUAACGUAGCUAACGCGUGAAGUUGACCGCCUGGGGAGUACGGUCGCAAGAUUAAAACUCAAAAUGAAUUGACGGGGUCAUAGCUGUUUCCU